AACAAUCGUGAUGAGUUCACAUAGGACGCAAUGAUCCCAGCCAACAUAUGUAGACUCAAAUGUUAUAUACAAGACUUGGUCAUUAAGGACACAAUUCCUUAAGAGACAACUCAACUAUGUACAUACGUCUACAAAGCCUCUAAGAAGAUAGAAUACCCAGAGUAGGUCCGGACAGACCUCGCCUUACCCUUAACUACGAUACAAUAUCAAAAACGAAUUUACAAAGGAAUCAGUAAAGCUCCGAAUCAACCUGGAGCUCACCAAAGGUUGCUUACUGUUGUGUGCUCCAACAAAGGAGGUCUACUAGGUGGAGUACUUGUGCCUGCAGCAUGAAAUUCACCGUGACGGACGUCAGUAAAAAAAUGUACUGAAUAUGUAAGGCAAAAACAUAUGUAAUACAAGGGCUCAACUGAAAUCAACUACCAACAUAUGAGUGCAUAGAUCAGGACAGAAGACCACCUUUAUUUACUCUUGUGAGAUCAUGUAAAUUACGCUCUUUCCUUUAUUUUUCUAUAUGUUAUAAUAUUUGUAGGGCAUGUGAUACAAGUGGCUAGCUGAUCAGUGGUAGAAGAGGAUGACCCAUUCUAGGCAUAUUAACCCUUGGGAUGCGGUCCUCAAAUUACACAAUUUCGGAUCGGCCCAUGCUAUGCUUUUGCCCCUGAGCUGCCACCCUUCUAUACCAAUAGGGAUCGACCCAUGCUAGGUUUUUGCUCCUGGUCUGCCACCCGUAAUAAUACAAAUUUCUUCACUUAGAUUCUUUAAUCUUUGAUAUUGUUUUUAUUAAUUCAAAACUCUUCUGGGAUUGGUCUUUGGAUACUCAUAACACUUUUGAGAUGUUGUUUUGGUGGUCAUAAUCAUAUUGGAGAUAUGGAAAUACGGACCAGUAGUAGAAGACAUGAAAAAUAAUACUUUGAAGCAGUAACAAUGACAUAAGGAGUUAUGUAACAUCAACACAUUACGUUAAGAGAUUAAUGACACAAUUUUGAAUUGUCUAGGAGAGGGAUUCACCAAACAUUCUUUUGCAAAUACCAUUUCUAUAAAAGCACAAGGGGGGACAAUUACACAAGAAUAGAGUAGUAAACAUAUAAUGAAGUAUUUCUAUAUAAUUCGGAUGGGGGGAUGGAUAUACUAGCUAUUUGGAGUCAGUACACUGCUAUUGUUUCUUUUACUAGGAAUAAAACUUAGGAGAUUCACUUCAUUGAUUUUAAAUACAGGUGUCAGAUUUCAUGCCAAGGAAUAUGGUAUUGAAUAACCUUACAUACUAUAUUUUCUGACCAAUACCACUAUCACGAUUCAGCCUUCCUUUUUGGGUGCUAAUCUACAACAUAAGUCAUGAUAGCAGCUAAUCACAUUAAGGUCCUCAAAAAUAGUUUCUAAAAUAUUUGACGGAAAGCAAGCCCAUACAACCCUUACACAACUGGUGAACCACCACAUUCCUCUACACAUUAAUACAACUUCAUACAUCCUCUCCCAAGAUACCUAAGCUGCCCUCAACAACAAUAUUAUAAGGCAACCAUUAUCAAUCUCAAAUCUUUCAACAUAACAGGGGAAUAUUGACUCAAGGAUUUAUCACAAUCCAUAACUUCUUGAUAAAUGGAUACAAAAUUCUCCACUCCAAACAUGUAUUAAAAGAGAGGAAAACAAAUGGGUUAUAGUCUUACCUUAAUUCUGGAAAUUUGUACUUUUAACUUGUACUUCAAGAAUUCAGACUCUCCUUCAAACUUUUACUUGAAAAUGAGACAAUACUCAAGAACCCUAAGGUGUG
Molecule: long non-coding RNA, 1765 nt
Filed under: Solanum lycopersicum (tomato)
Lineage: Eukaryota; Viridiplantae; Streptophyta; Magnoliopsida; Solanales; Solanaceae
Description: long non-coding RNA (SLYC_LNC000180)
Source: RNAcentral